UACGUAGGGUGCGAGCGUUAAUCGGAAUUACUGGGCGUAAAGUGUGCGCAGGCGGCCGAGCAAGUCGAGUGUGAAAGCCCCGGGCUUAACUUGGGAAUUGCGCUCGAAACUACUUGGCUGGAGUGUGGCAGAGGAAGGCGGAAUUCCAGGUGUAGCGGUGAAAUGCGUAGAGAUCUGGAGGAACACCGAUGGCGAAGGCAGCCUUCUGGGCCAACACUGACGCUCAUGCACGAAAGCGUGGGGAGCAAACAGG
This 253-nucleotide ribosomal RNA is filed under the name uncultured bacterium. RNAcentral's name for it is "partial 16S ribosomal RNA". It matches the Rfam family "Bacterial small subunit ribosomal RNA", at positions 524 to 776 of the family's 1533-position model. The record is from RNAcentral.